GCACAGGCCGCCUACGAGGAAGCUGCGCAGGAGCAGCUGUGGCGAUCGGCACCCGCCGCCGGGCAGGACCGCCCUGCGACGGACAGCACCGCCCUGCGGCGGACAGCUGCCCCACCUUCUGUCCCUGCUUCCAGCUCAGGGCCAGCAGGCGGCACGGCUCCUGAGACAGUGGGUGCUCAGUGAAUGUGUCUGACCAGAUGGAUGAAGACAGCCUCGGGUUAGUCGCCCAGCUACCCUCCUGGUCAUAAGAAGAAGAUGCAGGAACCUCCUCUGCGCCCGUGACCUCCUGGCCUGUCCAGUCCCUCGGCUCUGCAGCCUGCGGGGUCCCCUCCCCGGGCUCCUGUCAGGAGCCCGACGUGGUGGUCAGCGGGCAGAGCUGGGGCCCGUUUUCAACACCUUUCGUGUACUCCUCCCGGCAGACCCUGAGGCAUAAACAACCUCACUCUAUAAGAGGAAGCAAACCCAGGGAGGUUACGGAGACGCCUGGGGCCUCCUAAUAGCUAACUGUGGCCCAGCGGGGCCUGAACCCUGGGCUGUGUCCUUCUGCUGAAUUUGUGGGGAAGCAAAGGCACCUGGGCCCCAGGCAGAUGGGAAGACACGGCACCUACAGUCAUAUUUAUUUACUGUAAACCUGCCCGAGAGUAAAUGCAAGAGCACCGGAGAGGAAGUAGCUUCAGGCCUUGGGCAGACAGGUGUGUGUGUGUGUGUGUGUGUGUUGUGUGUGUGUGUGUGCGUGUGCGUGUGUUGUGUGUGUGUGUGCGUGUGUGUGUGUGUGUCUGCAAGGCUGGGGAGAGACCAAGACAGACGGAGAGAGACAGACAGAUAGAGAGAGGAUCAAAGAGAAGGAGACAGAGAGAGAGAGAGAGAGAGAGAGAGAGAGAGAGAGAGAGGGAGGGAGGGACACUGACUGAUGACUGAUUUGACAUCUCAUCACUGAGGGCUCUCUGUCCGCAGAUGCUGCGGUUGCAUUUUGCGUGGAGUCUGCAUGGGUUUUAUGGUUAGUUUGCUCCGUUAGUCUGCCGGUUGCACAGACAGGCCCGGCAUCUUCUGGGCGGGGACGCAUUCCUGUCUGGUUGUGCUUUGGAACCUGAAUCAUGAGGAAAUGGAGCCUGGCUUCUGAGAAAGAUAAACACUGUCAGAAAUCCCCAGGGGCCCGAACCCACUGCAUCCCCUUCAGCACUGAUCUCACAUGAUCUUGGCCAGAGACACAGCCUCAGGGUCCGCUCCUGUGACACAAGGACGGGGGCCCUGCUGAGGACGGGGGCCCUGCUGAGGACGAAGGAAGUCUGCAGUUUCCAAAUACGGCAUUCAAAGCCCCUGAAUUGAGAAAAACUCCAACAGACGCAAGAGAUAAUGUCAAACAGAGCAGGACACACUCCAUAAAGGGAGCUUCACGGCCAUUUCUCUGGGGUGGCCGGCAAGGGACACAGACUGUGGACACUGCUGGGACCGAGGCGGGGCCAGAAGCCUAGCUCUGGAUCCUCUCCCAGGACGCUCGCCUGCUCAGCGGCCCUGGCAAAUGCUGGGUUCCCAUCGCCUCUUGUGCCACACGGUUGAGAUUUAGACCAUUAAAGAAAAUACCCUGUGUAC
Long non-coding RNA from Lagenorhynchus albirostris (white-beaked dolphin), 1590 nucleotides. RefSeq lists it as uncharacterized. The record is from RefSeq and is a predicted model, not a curated record. Lineage: Eukaryota; Metazoa; Chordata; Mammalia; Artiodactyla; Delphinidae. The transcript has 3 exons.